Molecule: ribosomal RNA, 124 nt
Filed under: Schmidtea mediterranea
Lineage: Eukaryota; Metazoa; Platyhelminthes; Tricladida; Dugesiidae
Description: 5.8S rRNA
Rfam family: 5.8S ribosomal RNA
About the family: 5.8S ribosomal RNA (5.8S rRNA) is a component of the large subunit of the eukaryotic ribosome. It is transcribed by RNA polymerase I as part of the 45S precursor that also contains 18S and 28S rRNA.
Source: RNAcentral
CACUUUAAGCGAUGGAUCACUCGGCUCGCACGUCGAUGAAGAACGUAGCAAAAUAUGUGAACUAAUGUGAACUGCACAACGCUCUGAUCAUUGACACUUUGAACGCAAAUGGCGGCUAUGGGUC